Scatophagus argus is the source of this 2865-nucleotide long non-coding RNA. RefSeq lists it as uncharacterized. Lineage: Eukaryota; Metazoa; Chordata; Actinopteri; Scatophagidae. The transcript has 9 exons. The record is from RefSeq and is a predicted model, not a curated record.
UGUUUUAAGGAGCAGCCAGGCCUCUUGCAGACCUUUAUGACUCAUGUUAUCUCCCUCAUGCGCGUUGACAAUACCACGUGUUGACACUGAUGAAUGAGUGAAUUGGCUGAGAGCCUCCAUAGCAGGCUUGUGACAUGAUGUUACUGAGAUGGAAGAAGGGGUGACAAUUAAAUCCACCGUGUUAAGAGCUAUUGCAUUGUUUUUCUAUGUUUAACAAAUUAUUGUCAAUCAGAUUAGCCUGUUUUCUUUUACUGAUUACUGAUGGUCUUUCUGUUUUGCCCAGGAGUGAUCCUCUGAUUCAAUAUUUGUGGUUUGUUCUUGCUGUUUUCAUGCAAGACCUGGUUGUUACCUCAUGUAUGAACAGGUAAUAUAUGGAUCAGAAACACCAGCAAAUGACUUAAAAGGAUAGUAUCUUACUGUUAUAGGCACAUAACAGGGUAAUUAUUUUGAUGUUUGUUUCACAUAAGCCAUCAUCACGUCUACAUUUAGAUUCAAUGCUGAUAGCUGUUGUUUUUUGUUUUAUUUUGUUUUUGUUUUUGUUUUUUAAAUUCAUUGGCAAACAGGAGUAUUUAUAGGAACAUUAAGUCAUUUUGUCAUUUGAUUACAUAUAAAACAAGUGUUGUGUCACUAUGGGUGGCUGUUCACUGAUACUGUACUUCUUACACAUUCAGUAGAUAUGUAUAUUUUGUUUUGCACAGUAAUAAAGCAAACAAAUUUUCAUUAAUAUAUGGAAUAUUCAUGUUACUGUACUCAUGAUUGAAUAGAUGUAACCUAAUUUUUUUUUUUUUUUGACCUGUUGUUUUAUCAUACCAAAUUAUACAUGGACUCUGUAAUAAUACCUUUUUUUUCAUAAAUGCUAAAUGAAAGAUGGUACAAGUGUUGUUUUGUUGAGCAUUUAUUUUCUCUCAAAUUUAACAUUUUGCAUGCAUAUUAUUCUGAUCUCUAAAUAUGCACAGUAUUAUUAUUAUUAUUAGUUAGCUAAAUUUAUGCAGCAUUAAACGCAACAUUUUUUAGCUCCAAAGUUUAUCGCGGUUAAUUAACUAAUUAACCGUUAGCAAACAGGCGCCCUGUCAUUCUCACGACCUGCACACACAGAGCGACGGUAGCAUUCAUGUGGAGUCAUGUUGCUGACCAGCUGUUGAACCUCAGGGAAAUGCAGGCCAUCCAAACAUGACCAAUGGCUGUUGUAAAGUUUUAGGGUGAGUUUGUGUACCGUCCCGUGGUUUUCCAGGCGGACAGAGGGCCCGGGCUGAAGCGUCUCUCCAUUCAGAGCCCAGACAGGAGGCUUGUUUAUGGCGACGGACACCUCGCACUGGAAAGACGCGGGCUCAGACUCAUUUACCUCCACAUUCUUUAACUCUUUGACCAUUACAAGGGCUUGGGCUGCAGUGGCACAGAGAGAAAGAAGUUUUUAUCAUUGUAUGAUGGAAUUGAAGUAUUGAAGUAUAGUAUGCAGUAUUUUUUGCCAUUACUGAAAACUCACCACACCCAACCACACUUAAUAAUUUGUAAGCUGGAGUGGAGUGUUAAAGGUAAUUAAUAUGAGGCUCCUUCAAGUACGUUAGCUUUGGUCCUCGGCUCUCAGCCCAGCUUACCUUCCACCAUCAGUUUGGCUUUGGAUGUGUGCUCCCCAACCAUGAUGCUGUAGGUGCCCUCAUCCUCCACAACCACGUGCUGGAUCACCAGUUUUAGAGAGCAGCCGUCAGCCAAGAUCUCCACUCUGUCUGAGGGAACCAGCUCCUCCUUGCCCUUGUACCAGGUGGCACUGCAGCGAGGCGAGGAAACGGUGCAUUCAAGGAUCACACGGUGUUUCUCCAGGGCUGUGCGAUCUCGCAGGGGUUUUACAAUGGAAACGGGGAGCUCUGAAGUGAAAGGAAUAGUUUUUCUUAAUUUGUUAUGCAGCAUGUUUAGGCUACUGACACAUGAAAAAAGAAGCCAGAUAUUCUAGAGGUAAAAAUGGACUUACCUUCUACCUCAAGUGCGGAUCUUGAUGGUACUAGUGGGCCGGAUCUUGUGGCCGUCUUUGUACCACUCCCCAGUCACCUCCUCCAGAGAAACCUCACACAUGAAGACAGCAUUCUGGUCCUCCUGAAUGUAAAGGUCCUCCAGAUCAUGUACUAUCUCCAACUUAUGCUCUGUGAGGUCCCAGAGUCAGCCCGGGAGCACUGCAUGAUCUGACAGAACCGCUUCCGGCCCAUGGAGUAGAUCCGACAGUUCUUUCCUGGCUUCAGCUCCUUCCCGUCCUGACACAAAGACGUAACGGGAGAGAGGCAUCCCUCCUAAAUGAAAUCACUCCCCAUUGUCUUACCACACAACUUUGGCAUCAUCUGUGGAGACGUGGCAAAGCAGCACCACAGGGUCCAGCUCCAUGCUGCUCUUAUGGAGUUCCUCCUCUGGAACCGGCGUGAACUCCACGGGAGGACCUGAAAAACCAGAAAUGGACAGCUUUGGGAAACUCCACAUGGCCACUUCGCCCGUAUUUGUUGAUGCAGCAGAGACGGAACCGGUAGUGGCCUUCGCAUGGCACGCUGUCGCCAGCGACCUCAACUGAAGUGCCUGUCUCUGAGGUAAAACACUUCUGCCACUCUUGGGAGCCCACCUCUUGUCUCUCCACGACAAAGACGGAUCGGGUGGACGUCUGGCUGUUGGGGGCUGGAACCCAGAACACAGCGUUCUCACCCUCCAGGACCUCCAGUUUCCGGGGAAGUUUCCGAACAAUAGUGCCUAGAUACACUCCAUCGUCAUCUGUCCCAACAUCAUGGAUAGUCAGUCUCCGUUUGGUUCCUUUCUGCUCCAUCCCAUAUUUACUGCUCGGCAUCAGCCGCUGGUCCUCCAGAUACCAGGCGGAUGGGACAGACUCAUCGG